AUAGGUUUAGGGCACUGGAAGGUCCCUAAACCGAAAGGGGCUCUGCCCGCCCGAGGAUGGGCCGGCGGCCGAUUAGGUAGUUGGUGGGGUAACGGCCCACCAAGCCCAUAAUCGGUACGGGCAGUGAGAGCUGGAGCCCGGAGAUGGACACUGAGACACGGGUCCAGGCCCUACGGGGCGCAGCAGGCGCGAAACCUCCGCAAUGCUCGAAAGAGCGACGGGGGGACCCCAAGUGCCGUGGUACAACCACGGCUUUUCCGGAGUGUAAGAAGCUCCGGGAAUAAGGGCUGGGCAAGGCCGGUGGCAGCCGCCGCGGUAAUACCGGCGGCCCGAGUGGUGGCCACUAUUAUUGGGCCUAAAGCGUCCGUAGCCGGGCUUGUAAGUCCCUGGCGAAAUCCCACGGCUCAACCGUGGGGCUUGCUGGGGAUACUGCAAGCCUUGGGACCGGGAGAGGCCGGGGGUACUCCUGGGGUAGGGGUGAAAUCCUAUAAUCCCAGGAGGACCGCCAGUGGCGAAGGCGCCCGGCUGGAACGGGUCCGACGGUGAGGGACGAAGGCCAGGGGAGCAAACCGGAUUAGAUACCCGGGUAGUCCUGGCUGUAAAGGAUGCGGGCUAGGUGUUGCUUGGACCUCGAGUCCAAGCAGUGCCGCAGG
RNAcentral lists this ribosomal RNA (653 nucleotides) under uncultured archaeon. RNAcentral's name for it is "bacterial SSU rRNA". It matches the Rfam family "Archaeal small subunit ribosomal RNA", at positions 156 to 807 of the family's 1478-position model. The record is from RNAcentral.